AAAAGGAGUGUGGCACAAAAUAAUACAGAAAGAGGAUUUCAUAUUAAUUAUCAAAGCAGGCCAAAAAAAAUAAGCCUGAUCUGACUGCAAAUGAGGCAAAUUGUGGCCGGUAGCAGCAUGAACCUCCUUCUCCACCAAAGGAUUGCUCAGUAAUAACAGUCUAGCAGAAACUCACCUUGAAAAAAAAAAUGUAGACAACAUGAAAAAAAGAAAGAAAGGAAGAAAAUCAACAGUCAUUCAGAGAAGUGCCAUC
RNAcentral lists this long non-coding RNA (253 nucleotides) under Homo sapiens (human). RNAcentral describes it as "HSALNT0077908". Lineage: Eukaryota; Metazoa; Chordata; Mammalia; Primates; Hominidae. The record is from RNAcentral.